Molecule: long non-coding RNA, 1268 nt
Filed under: Homo sapiens (human)
Lineage: Eukaryota; Metazoa; Chordata; Mammalia; Primates; Hominidae
Description: non-protein coding lnc-COL20A1-3:4
Source: RNAcentral
GCCUCGUGAGCUGUCCCUCUCACACCACUGCCGGGCACCCUCCACCAGGUCCACAAGCCCUGUGAACCAUCCCUCUCACACCACGUCUGCCGGGCACCCUCCAUGGCAGGUCCAAGCCCUGUGAGCCGUCCCUCUCACACCACGUCUGCUGGGCACCCUCCACCAGGUCCAAGUCUCGUGAGCCGUUCCUCUCACACCACGUCUGCUGGGCACCCUCCACAGCAGGUCCAAGCCUCGUGAGCCGUCCCUCUCACGCCACGUCUGCCGGGCACCCUCCACGGCAGGUCCGAGCUUUGUGAACCGUCCCUCUCACGUCUGCUUUGAGGGUUUGUGUCAAUGGGGCUGUGCAGCAUCAACCUGUGAUCUUGCCAAUGCCCCAGCCUCUGCUCUGUACGGCAUUCAUAGCUCAGGAGGGCGGGGACAAGGGCGUUUCUGCAAAGCUCUCACAGCUCCUUCUGCUCCUCGGCUUCUGGGAAGCAACUAGAAAUAGCUGAGAGCCCAGCUCUUUCUAGAGAGAAGGGGGUGUCCUUUAUGGGGGUCCCUGACUGUGGGGGACCGAGCCCAGCUGGAGUCCUCCUCCCCUUCUCUCCGGCAGCAGGUCUCUCUGGCAGCAGGGUCUGGAAUCUAGAAACACUGAGACCUCCAGCCCCGAAGGGGGCAAACAUUAAACCACACGCCCUGGCUGUGCCUCUCCUCCGGGCGGGACUUGGGGUGAUCAGACCCACAGCUCAAAGGGUGCCCCCUGGAGAAGCCCUCACAGUGCCUGGGGUGAUUUCAGCCUCCAAGGGGGGGCUUGAGACGAGGCCCCCCAAAAGGUAGGGGCAUCGCUGAGGGGCAGCGUGUCCUCCGGUGGGGGGUGUUGGGCACCUGCCCUGCUCAGACGGCUGUGUGCAGGAGGCAUGGGAGGAGCCCUCCCCCAGCGUGUCCCAGCCGUGGUGGCAGCUGGAAGACUCACGGACUGUGAUUUUAUGCAGAGGGAGAAGGAGAAGCUGGGCCAGGAAACCACAACAGGCAGCAGCACCUGCCUGGGCUGGGGCCUGGGAUUCGAGGCUGAGCCACCCAUCCCAGGAGGGCCCAGCACCUCCAGGGCAGACCAAACACAGGACCCAACCGGACACCCAUACAGACACCGGGGCACCUUGGCAUCUGGUAGAGCCCCUCCUCUGGAUGGCUGCCAGGCUGUGGGAGGGAAGGGCAGCACGAGACCCUGAUUGGGCUCUGCCUGGCGCUCUGCCACUGCGGACCAGGAGCCCGGACAGUCGGAUACC